UGAUGGUGUUUGUUUGUUAUGUAGGAUGCAAUGAAUUGAAGUCACAUGGGUCCAUUCAAACUUAGUUGGUGCAAGAGAGGAAAUUCUUGGUCAAACAUGAUGCUAAAGUCCACCAACAGUAAAUAUGUGUGACAAAAGUACCUAUUUUCAACAGCGGAGUUUGCAUGCAAGGUAACUCUGAUUUUCUACAUGGUGCGGAAUAAUUUAAGUGUAUGAUCCAAAAGUGACAAAAUACAUAUUAUAUAUAUUGUAUUAGCAACUUAAGAAACUUUCCAUUUCCGCUUUCUAACAAUGAUUCUGAAGCCAAGCAGGACUGCCUUAUAGUUAGUCCGAUCAGAGAAACACUCUCAAGUGUUGAGAUCCUUUAUUACGGCCAAUGUUUCAGCCCUACAAAUCUCAGUUUGAGAGAGAUUAGUGAAGAGGUGACCUUUUUUUAUGUAAUUUUACAAUACCAAUGCAUCAAAUUAUACGAUUUUAGAGUUGCAUGCAUGCAUGAGUGUAUUUUUAUUUUGUUGAUUUUAUUAUAUAAUUGAAACCCCUCCACUUGAUGUAUCACAUUUUAGCUUUCUAAAAAAGCUUUUGUAGCCAAGCAGGACCAACACAUCAGCCCGAUCAAGAAAGAACAAAAGGUUUGUUCUACUUUAACAAUACUGGAAAAUGUUUGUUUUACUUUUAACACUAUGGUUAAAAGUUUAGACAUACUGAAUAUUUAUAUUUCUUUUCAUAAAUUUCAGACUAACACUAACAGGAACAAAGUGGGCCAACGAGGGAAGUUGGGGUUGCAACUGCCCUUUAGCAUAUCUAUAUAAUACGCGAAUAGUGUCUUAAAAAAAUAUUUUUUCUCAACAGAACUUGCGGAGCACUUCAACUUAUAGAAAUGAAGUAAUUUUCGAAGUUGACGAUUACGAAAGCCAAGGUAAGAUAAACUAAACAGUAGAGAUGGAGACGUACAUGUUUCAUUGUUGUAAUAUAGUUAUGCUUUUUUUUCAUCUCAUCCGAGUGACAUGGAACAAAAGUAGCAAAGGAUAAGUGGAAAUGGAUACAUUUACAUGGAGCAAAAGUAGAUCCGAAUGAAACCACAAACUAACUUGCCAUGGUAAUUUAUUUUAUUAAAUAUUCUACUAACCUACUUCAUUAAAUGUAAUCAACAAUGAAUUUUGUUUUCUCGUGGGAUGUGUAUUUUUAUGUUUAUUCUAUUUUUUAGAAAGAUAGUCUCAUAGUUGAAAAUUAGUUUUUUAUGGACCAGUCGGGGUUAACAUCAACAUAUAAACUUGACUAGGUAAAUGACCCUAUUACUUACUACUUAAUUUAUAUUAUUAAGUAGUAAUCAAAUCUUUUACUUUUUUUUGGUUUCCAUGUAAGAUAAACAGGUUAAACCCAAUGCACGAUGAGCAACAGGUAAAGUUUAUCUUUCAUAUAUAUAAAGACACACUGUGACAGGGCUGAGAUAUCGACAAUAUCGAUAAUUUUGCAUAAUUUUUUAAUCAUUCCAUUUUUUGUCUUUCAUGCAAGAUGAUCGAGAUUCUAAACACUAAGAAUGCUGACAUGAUGGUAGAGUUAUGUUUACUCAACUGGUCCUUAUUAACCGAGUUAGUUAUUUAGAGGUUGCUAGAAGCAUACCUACUACACCCACUUUCUCCUAAAUUAGUUGAGUUAGUGGUAUUUGCAAGUAAAAAACCAUUUUAUUAAGAAAAUUCAAAAACCUUCAAAAGUAAAUAACUUUUUUAAAAGACACGCUCUAUCUACAUGUUUUCUAAUGUAAUAACAAAAACAUUAAAAGUUAUAUGUAUACUUAAUAGUCUUAUAUAAAAGUUGCACUAAUAAAAAAAGUAUACUUAAUACCAAAACGACUUGCGAGUCAAUCUGCAACUCCAAAUUCUUGAACUUUAUAUCAUAAUCACCCACUAAAUUCACAUCUGAUUCCAUUUUUAUUUCCAUGCAGGGUUGGCAUUGCUCAACGGCCUAGGUUUUGGUAAGAUUAGAAAACCAAUCAUUUGAGUAAAUUCAGGAGCACAUUUAUCCUUUUUACAACUCAUCCUAUAUUUGCCAUGUAUUUAAAUACCCUGGCAUAAAGGCUUUUGAGAAUGCUUCACUAAGGGUGAACUUAUCUUGGCACGGUGGGAUAUAUUAUCACAUAAGAACAUUUAAACCAUGCCACAUGUUGCCCCCUUGCUACCAUAUAUUAGUGUUGAUACUUUGACAAAUGGGCACCAUGCAUCAAGUCAACAAGUCAAAAAAAGGCCAUCUUUGAGGUUAAAGAGGACGAUCCAAAAGCCGAAAAAAUUGAGGGAGUAAACCAUGUUUGACUAUUACAAAACUUUCCCACAUUGUUGCCUACCGUUUACUUUUGCAUUAAAAUAACAUCAUUUCAUGUUUUGUCACUCUAUCACUUUUAUUUUAUAUUGUUGUGUGGUUGUACACUAUUCACGUUCGUUUUCCUUUUAUAAAUUAAAAAUGGUGCUUUUGUUUAUAA
Long non-coding RNA from Helianthus annuus (common sunflower), 2473 nucleotides. RefSeq lists it as uncharacterized. NCBI's taxonomy places the organism in Eukaryota, Viridiplantae, Streptophyta, Magnoliopsida, Asterales, Asteraceae. The transcript has 2 exons. The record is from RefSeq and is a predicted model, not a curated record.